CACUCACUUCUAUUCCAAGUCGAGGGAGUUGAACAAAAAGCAAAUCCUAUCCCAUCUAAGGUCCUCCCACAAGACCCAUAAG
RNAcentral lists this non-coding RNA (82 nucleotides) under Amorphochlora amoebiformis. The record is from RNAcentral. Lineage: Eukaryota; Cercozoa; Chlorarachniophyceae.